RNAcentral lists this ribosomal RNA (350 nucleotides) under uncultured bacterium. Its description in RNAcentral is "bacterial SSU rRNA". It matches the Rfam family "Bacterial small subunit ribosomal RNA", at positions 355 to 702 of the family's 1533-position model. The record is from RNAcentral.
UGAGGAAUAUUGGACAAUGGAGGAGACUCUGAUCCAGCCAUGCCGCGUGCAGGAAGACUGCCCUAUGGGUUGUAAACUGCUUUUAUAUAGGAAGAAACCUGACCACGUGUGGUUGGCUGACGGUACUAUAUGAAUAAGCACCGGCUAACUCCGUGCCAGCAGCCGCGGUAAUACGGAGGGUGCAAGCGUUAUCCGGAAUCAUUGGGUUUAAAGGGUCCGUAGGCGGGUCAUUAAGUCAGAGGUGAAAUCCCACAGCUUAACUGUGGAACUGCCUUAGAUACUGAUGAUCUUGAGUUUUAGUGAAGUAGAUAGAAUGUGUAGUGUAGCGGUGAAAUGCAUAGAUAUUACAC